UGGUUUAAAGCGUUAGUAGUAUGGUUAUAUUAUAUAUAUAACUAGAAUAUAUAUUAAUACUAUAAUAGCUAUAUAAGUAACAGUUAAAUGUAAGUAUAAAUAUAGUAAUACCAUUAUUAGAAAUAAUAUAGUAAAAUAUAUAUUGACAUUCAGGAAUGAAAGUCAUGGUAUCAAAUUGGACUAGUCAACCAAUUAGUCAUGACCGUAAACGAUGUAAAUUAAUAUAUUAUAUUUAAAUAUAUNAUAUAUAUAGCUAACGCGUUAAAUUUACCACCUGCUAAGUAUUCCUUUCGGUGAAACCCAAAAC
RNAcentral lists this ribosomal RNA (307 nucleotides) under Tardiomyces blankii. RNAcentral describes it as "[Candida] blankii partial small subunit ribosomal RNA". It matches the Rfam family "Bacterial small subunit ribosomal RNA", at positions 556 to 907 of the family's 1533-position model. The record is from RNAcentral. Lineage: Eukaryota; Fungi; Ascomycota; Dipodascomycetes; Dipodascales; Trichomonascaceae.